GAAGAGUUAACAUGCUACUCCUCCCGCCUCGCUGCUAACAAGUGAAACAAGCUGUGGGUUGAGGCUGCAUGGAACCCGGUCGGUCUGGCAGAGAGGUUGGCUACAGUGAAUCCGUUGGAUUUGCACAGUCAAGCUCAAUUCAUUAUGUAAUACCGAGGAGGAUAUAAAGUCUUGGCGUGAACCUCCACAGCAUUGGCAAGGGCAGAUCUGUUGCGGUUGCAAUCCUAGAAGAGACUAGCAUGAGCUUAUGCUGCAUUCCUGACACCUCGGAAGUCAGAUUUGUCCUAGUUGGAUUCUCCCAAUUUCAUUCCAGACGAACUUGGAAGUUGGGACAUUGGAACGCCACUUGAAGUCGGAGAUCCCACUUCUAAACUCGGGGUUGUGCUCUGGGGUCCUACCUGAAGAGAGGAAUCGGAUGGGAUUGCCAAGACCAAAAAGGCUUGCAUCAUGUGGUUCUGACAACCCCCAGGGACGACAAAGUACACUGUGGGGGCUCUCUGCUCAGCUCUGAGUGGAUCAUCACGGCUCGUCACUGUGAUAAGAUAAACCUGGAGGCCAUAGUUGGAAAGCACCCCACUGGGGAAGGCCUUACUAUAAGUAUUCAAGAUGGGGAUAAGUACAAGUUUAUAAACAAGAGUCCAGGCCUAGAACAUGAUCUUAUGUUGAUAUAAAUAGACAAUAAAGACACAAAUGACCUCAUCACAAUACCCUUGCCUAAAGAAAACUGUGCAACUCCACCUCUUUACACCACAGUUGACAUUGUUGGCUGGAUGACUGCAACUGUAGGCCGUUACACAGAGAAAAAAAAUUUCUACCAUGCAAACAAACUGCAGUGUGGAAAUUUGACUGUUGUUGAAUGCCAGUCCCCAAGUUGCCCAUAUCUUCAGGACUACCAAUAUCAGCAUCUUCUCUGUGCUAUAGGCACAAAUACAAAAUGUGAUAGCUCUCAUGGGGACUCCGGUUCUAGUCUGAUAAGUGGAGGAAAGCUUCAUGGAGUUCUGGUCAUGUCUGAUGACUAUUUUUGUGGUGACACUGUUGACUUCAUGGACAUCUGCCACACCGAAUACAGAAAGUGGAUCUUCACCACCACUAGACUGUAGGCGCAGAAACCCAACACAUACUUUCCUACAACAGUAUGUGAUAAUAAAGAGAGGGCAGAUGUCCCUAAAAGUCGCCUGAGUUCUGACGCCUCCAUCACCUUUGUGUCUAAUGACUCAGAGGUUAAAACAUUUAGUCUGUUCAAGCAGUAAACAGAAGCAUACAAUGUAUUUAUUCAUGGGGUGGGCAGUAGAGAUUGACAGGAAGUGAAUGGGAGAGAGAGAUGGGAGUAGGGACUUGAAUGUGGUGAAUGCUGUCGCUUACGCCACAGCUGUUUUUAACCACAGUGGUGGACAGGAGUUGUCUGGACAGGAGUUGUCUCUGACCACCUGUAGCUCAACUCAUUGAGUUAUCAGUCUGGGAACACUCAAUGGCUUUGUCUCAAAACACAUACUUGCACACUUCAAAUACUUAGUUUAAGUAUAAAGUGCAGAUAACGCAAAAACUCAGUGCACUGAAAGUACCCGAAUGACGGUCUAAUAACGCUCAAAAAGUUCCGCAGUGGAGUUUCCUCAGACCAUUUUUCACGAAGUGAAUGGGGUUUGACGACACUAAUCUAGGGCAGGACCAUCUGUUGAGGCUGAGCUAUCAAACUUCUGAGGGAUGGAAAUCAUUGAUGACACUCUUUGGUCAUAUAAACUUAGCACAAAAAGUAAGGAAAUUUGUGUUUGGUAGAUUAUUUCUCCACGGUAACAAUGCUAUAAAAUAAAUCUUAUACCGUUCAAA
Alosa alosa (allis shad) is the source of this 1824-nucleotide long non-coding RNA. RefSeq lists it as uncharacterized. The transcript is spliced from 6 exons. Lineage: Eukaryota; Metazoa; Chordata; Actinopteri; Clupeiformes; Clupeidae. The record is from RefSeq and is a predicted model, not a curated record.